UGUCCAAGGAGAAGGUGAUCCCAUCUGCUCCAGAGCUGCCCUGGCAUCCUUCUUCGAGGGACAGAGCAGGCAUCGUGGCCACGUAGGGCCCACGGGGCCUGACAAACCCUAGCAAGCCAGCUCAAGGCUUCUGGGCUAGGAGUGGCCCAGGCAGAGCCUUGGAGUUCAGCACUCCGGUCACAGGGUGAUCCAGCACACUUCUGACUGAGCCAUGUGGACUUUUUCAGGCAAGAGUGAUGGUGGGUAGGGUUCCCCUUACACUGGAGGAGAGCCCCAGAAAGGAAUCUUCCUGAGAAGCUGAGACGAUGGCGGGACAGCGAUGGUCGCCUGGCUCCCAGAACUGAGCUUCCCAACAGACAGAAGGCAGAGAUCCCCUCGCCUGGAGACAUUUUCUGAAGACUUGGGAAAAGGAGAAAAGGCGGGCUACUCCCUGACAGCAGGCCUCCAUGCUUCUGAGAGCCAAUACCAAGAACGCCAGGUAAGAUCGGGGCGUCCACCUGGGUCAGCCACCUCUUUACCAGAAUGGAGAACCAAACCCGGGAGAUGCAAGGGCCCAGUGAGAAAUAUCCCUGCUCUCUGGAGAUAGAGCUUGUCUCCCCCCACCCCCCAAGCCUCUCUCACCUUCCAACGGCCCCUCAGGGCGAAGGAUCCUUUCUUGGGGUAAAUGAAAGGCUCCUUUGAAUUCCUUUUCUCAGUGAGGCUCCCUCAAAUGGAGGAGUACAUGUAUGUCCCUGGGCCCAGAGAGAGAAGGCAGACCUUCUACUCCUCCCCACCAUCCCAGUCCCCACCCCCACCCCACCCCUUCCAGGCGGCCUUUCGAGCUACUCAGGGGUGGGGGAAGGAAUCUCCCUGGCUACCCGUUCUUGGCAAUCUUUUUACAGGCGAGUCUGCCCCCAUGCCCUCCUCCGGUGCUUUCCUUCCCCCUCAGCCUUCUGUGCCCUGCAAGGCCAAGGCUGCUUUAGCCAGGAGUGCAGGGACAUACUUACGAGAACAUAGAGACGGUGCUGGGUCUUCUGAACAAGCUGUCCCACACCCAGAGGGUUAAGAAACUGAGAUGCCAGGCAUGGAGUUUAAGGUGAGAGACCAGGCCCGGCUGCUCUGAGUUAAGAGGCCUGGCAUGGUACCUUCAACCCCAACCCCAGGGAAAAUUCUCUUUCCUUGGAGCCUUGGAGACCUAUGGGGAUAUGCGCAUUAAAUGUCCACCAGCUUGAUUAUUCUAGAAUUAUAGGGUCCGAACUAGACAGUCUUUAUCCGGGGAUGGGACAAGGAAGGAGGAGGCAAAGACCUUUCCUGGUUGGAUGCCUCCCUCUCUAUACUGUCUGGCCAUUUACGUCACCUUAAGAAAGAUGGGUCUGGUUCUUGUGUCCCACCGAGAAGAUGUAAAAUCUCUGCCGUGCUCUCCUUUUUCCCAAGUGGGGAUGGCAGCAGCCCUCAUGUCCCCUUUCUGGAUCACUGUCUGCAAAUCUAGAAUGCCCCAUCCCCAGUCCUGGUCCUCCAUCCAAGGUGAUCAUUUCCAGCCACACAAGUCAGAAGUCCAGAAGGUAGAGCAGGCUGUGGUAUUCUGCCCCAGACCUCGUCAUUGGAUGUCCUGUUUUUUUACUUUCGUCUGCAAUUUUAUUAUAAAGAGUAAGGUGAAUCUGUUUAUGUGCCUAAGCUGGAAUACUUGUUACAAAUGGAAAACUAACACCAUGCAGAGUUUUAAACAAUAAUAAUGAUGAAGAUGCAGUAUCAAUACCACACUGUCCCCUGCUUCUGUGGCUUGUUGGGCGCUGACCUGAAGCCCCUUCCGGAAAUAAGCAGGCCUCAGGAAGAAGUCGGAGGCAGAACAGCCAGGCUUCCCUCCCCAUACACAGGACCCCACACCCACAGGCAUUGUAGCCCAUGCGUGUAAUCUCAGAAUUCCAGAAGUAGAGGCAGGGGGAUCAGCAGUUCUAUACAAUGAAUGAGUUUGGGGCUAGCCUGGUCUACAUGUGUCUCUGUUUCUAAAAAGAAAGGACAAAAAGGAAAAUAAGGGGGAAGGGAGGGCAGACAAAGAGGCAAGGGGCGAUCCAAAUGGCAUGUCACCAAAUGACUCCCAAAGAUCACGACUCCCUCGGCUUCCCCAGAAAGCAAAAGCAGUGCAGGCAAAAGGGCUUUGGGCACAGUUGACCCUGAGGAAGGAAGGCUCCUAACAACCCAGCUACGCUGUGUCCACCACUCCUGGCUAUUUCCUGAAAUGUUCCUUAGCUCCAGUGCCACCUCUUCCAGGGUCCCCGGGAGCUGUGGGGAAUGUCGUGGAGAAGACAAGUUGUCCUGACUCCAAGAGAGUCCUGUGUUCAGAUCUCCUGGCAAGUGGGUUGUGGAAAGAUUCUGAGGAUUCCAGACAGUGGGGAGUUGGUUAUUGGCUGGGGGUUGCCUGAGGGAGGGCAGAAGUUUCUCAGCCUUAGUAACAAAUCAGAGAAGUUUUCCCCACUGCCCCUGCACUCCACUCCCAGCUUGGGGGUGCUGGACUCCCGUUGGGAGGCCUAGGAGCUGUGGGGUUUCUAGAAAUGGAGGUGCACAUUUCUUUUUCUGUUCUCUCCCAGCCCUGAGGAAACUUCAGAAAACCCUGAAGGUAUGUAUCAUCCGGCAUCAAGGCCACCACCACUGCAGUCACUGUGAAGCAAAGGUCGUCUGAGGACCCUGGGGUCUUAGCUAGAGCAGAGGGAGUGGGUGGUUUGGGGUGGGGGUGUUCUGCUCACCUGGGAGUUUCCACACAUGCCAUGGCUAUAGAAGAAAAGGAAUCAUUCACGUGGUCACCCAGUCACCACGUGUCAUCUGCGGUCUGUGGCUAUGUGCAAAGGUCAUCAGCAGGUUCUAGGGACACCCAAAUUAUAAUAUAUGGAGCUCUGGCUGGGGUGACCCAGAGAUGAACCACUCGAAGGCCACGAAGGAUGGGGUGGGUUGCAAGCCAUCUACUCAAGAAGUAUUCAAGAGCACAGCCUCGAUCCGGGGGCUGAGGGAAAACAUUAGGCUCUCUUUCCUGCUGAAGGAAAGUGCCCACAGAUGAAAACUGUACCUCAGGAGCUAGGAAGAAACAGAGUUCAAAAGACGGGCACGCCCAUGAAGGAGGUGUCCUGGGCUCUAAAGAAGUAAGGGAUGGCUUCUCACUAGCAAUCAUUUGUUCAGCGUGCGUACAGAGAUGGAUGGAGGACGAAUACGAGAACCACAGGUUAAGCCGGCAGAGAGGCUAUCUACUAUCUGCAAGGCCCUGGGGUCCGUCUUUAGCACUGAAAAACAAAACAAACAAAAAAUCAACUGCACGCUUGAAAUGGAUGGGGUCUAUCUCAAGAAAGCUAAUUUAGAAAGACAAAGGGCGUGAAAGUGGAAAUUCCAGGGCAAGUCGAGACCCGGAGAGGAAGCAGACCACUGCGCAUGCUCACACUCCUUCUCCUGCGCAGGAGCGGAUGGAGGGCCUGUCUCCCAGCCUGAGGUGCAGUGCUGCAUCUCUGGUCAGUUGGGAGUCUGAGAUGAAGCACUGUAGCUCAGGAAGGGAGAAGAUGUUCUGCAGCCGUCACCAGGACGUGGUAAGUGUUGGCAUGGGGUAACGGGCCCAAUAGGUUGUCAGCUGCAGCGGUUUGUGGUGAUGUUCCUGGGUUCAAGCUGUACCAGGGCUGAUCACUCUUGUGCCAUCUCAAACAGUAAGCUCUGGUCCAUUCAGGGGCCGCCAGCACCAACACCCUGCCUCUCCUUCCUCAGCCUAGAGAAGACCCUGCUAACAAAAACGACUCUACAUAUACCCAUUCUGGGAGGCUUCCAACACACCCUCAGAACCCUUCUCAACACUGCAUAGUGAAUACUCACUGUAAAUGAUUCUGCAUUGAAACCCCUUCAUCUCUAUAGACCAGACAGUACCUAACAACCCUUAGUCCUAGAAGCAGAGAUGCAGAGUCCUGGCUACCUGUCUGCCCUGCCCUAGAGUUUUCAGAGAGGCAAGGCGUCACCUAGGAGAGUCCCUGGGGUAUACCCAAUUUGUAUUUAACCUCCCAAGCCUGGUCAGAGGAAAGUGACCCACUUCAUAGAGGAGGGUAGGAAAAAAGAACAAACCCCACCCUGGUCUUGGCUACACUCAGAUGCACCGUCAGAGGCAGAACCACACACUCCCACACAUACACGAGGGCAUCAGAGGAGGGCAUACAUGAUCCUGAGCCACCAGGUGGCUGCUGGGAGUUGAACUCGGGACCUCUGGAAGAGUGCUCUGAAUCGCUGAGCCAUCUCACCAGCCCCUGACCAUACAUACAUAUUUCUAAGCAUCCUGUGGCCUUGCUUCCUCCAUGCUGUCUCCUCGCCCACCCAGGAGGUCCUAUUUGAUGCCACUUAACAGUCGAGCGAGGAGCAGAGUCUGAGUGACCUGCUGGAGGACAGCAGUGAGCCGGUCGCGAGAGCCUGAGAAUGGACUUCAUAAUCACUGGCCAGGGUUCUCGAGGCCUGUGGCAAGGGGGAGGGGCCGGAAAGGACUGGUCCCCAAAAACUUCCUGACCUCAGAGAAGGUACUUUCCAAGCCACUCAGAGCUCUGGUUGGUCUUCCCAGAGCAGGAAGCUGCAUCCUGGGAAGCAGGGUGCACACAGCACCCCCACACUGGCUGCCAGAGCUAGGGCCCCGGAUGCAGAGAAAAACGUCUGGUCCCUAAGGGCGUGGCACAUGCUGAAGGCAUCUCUCUCCCACCUUGUCCUCACGGUCCAGUUUUCCCAGGAAUCCCUUGGAUGCUAAGAUGGGGAUUCCUGGAAAUACUGUUCUUGAGGUCAUGGCUUAACAGCUGGAUCUGCCUCCUUCCCACCCUGGCAUCUCCUCCCAGGGAGGAGGAGGAGGAGGGAGGAGGCGGAGCGAGCGUCGGAGGUAAGCGGUCUCGGGAACUCUCUUCUGACCUUUGUAUAGCUUUUCUUUCCACUCUAUCCAUAUUUCCUAACAUCCCCGGGAGGCUGGAUGUGGGAACCUCAGUGCUGCCUCACUCUUGAGAAACUUGUCUCGAGACACAGCGGUUGAACCAGACUCUAUGACACAGCCUUCCCUCCGCUCUGACCCUCCUCAUUUCCUUCUCUGUAGGCCUUUGUGGUGAGGAGGAGCCAGAGGCCCACGUCCACAUUUUAAAGAAAGUAAUGCGUAAAUUUAUUUUAAAAGUUUAUUAAAUCAGAUAGGUAAACUAAAAACCAUUCAUCUCUGUUGGAUUUGGAGGGCAGCCACAGGAAAAUGAGUUUUCAAGGUAGAAAAUACAUGAUUUGGCGCGCCCCCUGGUGGUGCCUCUUCCCACUACAGGAACACUUGUGAUCUUGUACACCGCCACCUACGCGUUUAACCCUUAUUUCUUGCCAGAGAUGCUUCCACAGCUUACGGUUAACUGGGUUUUCCUGAGGCCCAAACAAGAGCCAGGUCACCUAGAAAGCAAACGGUAGAGCCAGGGUUGAUUUCGAGCGUGGAAUUGAAUGUCUGAAUGUCCUGAGUCAAAAGAAAAAGUAGAGGCGGGUACUACUCCCUUAUAGUUCCCUGCCCCGCCCCCUCCCAGCUCUUGGGAGUUCUUUCUUGUUUUCCCUUAGCAAAUCUUUGCUUAUUGUGCUAAAAUAAAAUAAAAUAAAAAAUAAGGCACACGCCUUUAAUCGCAGCACUCAGGAAGCAGAGGCAGGGAUGGAAGUCAAAACCCUUGAUGAAAUCAGCUACAAAGUAGAACUAGGCCAGGAAGGAUGUGACAGAGCUUACCAGGCGCUCACCACCAAUCUGAGGGCUUGCGUGGAAUUCCCAGAACCCACGUGGUAGGAAGAGAAAGCUGUUUGGCCUCUGACCUCCAUGUGCGUAGCAUGCUGUGUGCAGCAAAUGUGUGUGCGCGCACGCACGCACGCGCACACAAUAAAAAGAGCUAACUGCAAAGGGAAACUAGAACUCAGGUGCUGGGAGAGAGGUCAGGCAGUAAAGCGCUGGGUUCAGAUGCCCAGCGCCUGUGUAGGAAGCCAGCUGUGGAGGCUGGUAGGGAGGACAAGAGGACCCCUGGAGAUCUGCAGCCAGCCAGACUAGCCAGGGUUGGUGAGCUCCAGGUUCACAGAGAGACAGUGUCUCAGAAUCACAGGGUAAGCGGUGACAGAAGACGCUAACCACACUCACACACUCAUGU
Molecule: long non-coding RNA, 6119 nt
Organism: Apodemus sylvaticus (European woodmouse)
Lineage: Eukaryota; Metazoa; Chordata; Mammalia; Rodentia; Muridae
Exons: 2
Source: RefSeq, a predicted model, not a curated record